This 368-nucleotide ribosomal RNA is filed under the name Salmonella enterica. RNAcentral's name for it is "partial 23S ribosomal RNA". It matches the Rfam family "Bacterial large subunit ribosomal RNA", at positions 2575 to 2925 of the family's 2925-position model. Lineage: Bacteria; Pseudomonadati; Pseudomonadota; Gammaproteobacteria; Enterobacterales; Enterobacteriaceae. The record is from RNAcentral.
GGCUGUUCGCCAUUUAAAGUGGUACGCGAGCUGGGUUUAGAACGUCGUGAGACAGUUCGGUCCCUAUCUGCCGUGGGCGCUGGAGAACUGAGGGGGGCUGCUCCUAGUACGAGAGGACCGGAGUGGACGCAUCACUGGUGUUCGGGUUGUCAUGCCAAUGGCACUGCCCGGUAGCUAAAUGCGGAAGAGAUAAGUGCUGAAAGCAUCUAAGCACGAAACUUGCCCCGAGAUGAGUUCUCCCUGAGACUUAAAGUCUCCUGAAGGAACGUUGAAGACGACGACGUUGAUAGGCCGGGUGUGUAAGCGCAGCGAUGCGUUGAGCUAACCGGUACUAAUGAACCGUGAGGCUUAACCUUACAACGCCGAAG